Molecule: ribosomal RNA, 734 nt
Filed under: Anisosticta bitriangularis
Lineage: Eukaryota; Metazoa; Arthropoda; Insecta; Coleoptera; Coccinellidae
Description: SSU rRNA
Rfam family: Eukaryotic small subunit ribosomal RNA
Source: RNAcentral
AGCUCGUAGUCGAAUUUGUGUCUCGCGCCGUCCGGUUCAUCGUUCGCGGUGUCAACUGGCGUGUCGCGAGACGUCCUGCCGGCGGGUCGUUCGCAAGAGCGGCCCAACUGACCCCGCCGCGGUGCUCUUCAUUGAGUGUCGAGGUGGGCCGGCACGUUUACUUUGAACAAACUAAGGUGCUUAAAGCAGGCUGAAAUUUUGCCAGAAUAUUUUAUGCAUGGAAUAAUGAAACAGGACCUCGAUUCUAUUUUGUUGGUUUUCGGAACCUCGAGGUAAUGAUUAACAGGAACGGAUGGGGGCAUUCGUAUUGCGACGUUAGAGGUGAAAUUCUUGGAUCGUCGCAAGACGGACAGAAGCGAAAGCAUUUGCCAAAAACGUUUUCAUUGAUCAAGAACGAAAGUUAGAGGUUCGAAGGCGAUCAGAUACCGCCCUAGUUCUAACCAUAAACUAUGCCAGCUAGCGAUCCGCCGACGUUCCUCCGAUGACUCGGCGGGCAGCUUCCGGGAAACCAAAGCUUUUGGGUUCCGGGGGAAGUAUGGUUGCAAAGCUGAAACUUAAAGGAAUUGACGGAAGGGCACCACCAGGAGUGGAGCCUGCGGCUUAAUUUGACUCAACACGGGAAACCUCACCAGGCCCGGACACCGGAAGGAUUGACAGAUUGAGAGCUCUUUCUUGAUUCGGUGGGUGGUGGUGCAUGGCCGUUCUUAGUUGGUGGAGCGAUUUGUCUGGUUAAU